UUCCCUACUGACAAGAGAUCGCUAGAGCCUAAUUUUUCCACAGCUGGUGAGCUCGAAAAGGUUGCCUCAGAAUCCGCCAUUGUAUAUAUGAAUGCUUACACGAUGAUCUAUAAAAUUACUUUCCAAAACGUACCAAUAAUUGGCCACAAGAAUCACUUUCCCAGAUGAAAGAGUCUGCACAAGAUCAGGCAAAGAAACAACAGCUAUAUCAACCUGAAAACGACUGAGAAGGCGCUGAAAGAUAUGUAUAGUUCUGAA
RNAcentral lists this unclassified non-coding RNA (258 nucleotides) under Hevea brasiliensis (rubber tree). Lineage: Eukaryota; Viridiplantae; Streptophyta; Magnoliopsida; Malpighiales; Euphorbiaceae. The record is from RNAcentral.